This 492-nucleotide ribosomal RNA is filed under the name uncultured microorganism. RNAcentral describes it as "bacterial SSU rRNA". It matches the Rfam family "Bacterial small subunit ribosomal RNA", at positions 9 to 490 of the family's 1533-position model. The record is from RNAcentral.
GAGUUUGAUCAUGGCUCAGGAUGAACGCCGGCGGUGUGCCUAAUACAUGCAAGUCGUACGCACUGGCCCAACUGAUUGAUGGUGCUUGCACCUGAUCGACGAUGGAUCACCAGUGAGUGGCGGAUGGGUGAGUAACACGUAGGUAACCUGCCCUGUACAGGGGGAUAACAAUCAGAAAUGACUGCUAAUACCGCAUAAGACCACAGCACCGCAUGGUGCAGGGGUAAAACUCCGGUGGUACAGGAUGGACCCGCGUCUGAUUAGCUGGUUGGUGAGGUAACGGCUCACCAAGGCGACGAUCAGUAGCCGGCUUGAGAGAGUGAACGGCCACAUUGGGACUGAGACACGGGCCCAAACUCCUACGGGAGGCAGCAGUGGGAAUAUUGCACAAUGGGGGAAACCCUGAUGCAGCAACGCCGCGUGAGUGAAGAAGUAUUUCGGUAUGUAAAGCUCUAUCAGCAGGGAAGAAAGUGACGGUACCUGACUAAGAAG